Molecule: long non-coding RNA, 453 nt
Filed under: Homo sapiens (human)
Lineage: Eukaryota; Metazoa; Chordata; Mammalia; Primates; Hominidae
Description: HSALNT0354217
Source: RNAcentral
GGGGCCGACUGGGGAAGGGGCCGGGAAGAGCUGAGGGCGCACUAGGCGCCGCGCAGAGGCGCCUUUGAGUCGGCAGCCGCGGAGCCAGCGCACGGGCAUCGGCGGGACCCGGCGGACGGAAAGGCGGAGUGGGGGUCUUUGGACUGCACGACUAUAAUUUCAUGUGUGUGAAAUUCAAGGGGAAAAAGGAAACAAUACAUAAUCCAGCAUCACCAGUGUCACACUUCAGGACCUGAUGAAAUGUUUUAUCUUCUGAAAAGCUUUCCUGGCUCAGAUGAGGUGACUCAUGUCAGCCUACACAAAGGCUUCUUCAUAUACUAGAAUUUCUACUAUAAUUUUUCAGCCUUUCCACAAAACAAGUCUUACCAUAAUCCAGCAACAGAGCAAAAGAGAAGUCAAUGAUGAGAAGCUUGAUAAUGUAAAGGUUUAGUUCUAAGGUGGGUAGCAGUCACU